UCAAGUGACUAAGUGUAUGUGGUGGAUGCCUUGGCGAUCACAGGCGAAGAAGGACGUAGUAGCUUGCGAUAAGCUGCGGGGAGCCGGCAAACGGGCUUUGAUCCGCAGAUUUCCGAAUGGGGGAACCCACCGACGCAAGUCGGUAUCACACACUGAAUACAUAGGUGUGUGAGGCGAACGGAGCGAACUGAAACAUCUAAGUAGCUCCAGGAAAAGAAAUCAACCGAGAUUGCGAAAGUAGCGGCGAGCGAAAUCGCAGCAGCCCAGUGUUCUGAUAGCACGAACGACAGCAGAAGGGUCUGGAAAGGCCUGCUAUAGAGGGUGAUAGCCCCGUAUGCGAAAUCGGACGUGUGGUACUAAGGAACCGAUAAGUAGGGCGGGACACGUGACAUCCUGUCUGAAGAUGGGGGGACCAUCCUCCAAGGCUAAAUACUCGUGAUCGACCGAUAGUGAACCAGUACUGUGAAGGAAAGGCGAAAAGAACCCCGGGAGGGGAGUGAAAUAGAACCUGAAACCGCAUACAUACAAACAGUAGGAGCCCGUGUAGUCGGGUGACUGCGUACCUUUUGCAUAAUGGGUCAGCGACUUACGUUUUGUGGCGAGCUUAACCGAGUAGGGGAGGCGUAGCGAAAGCGAGUUCGAAUAGAGCGAGAAGUCUCAAGGCGUAGACCCGAAACCAGAUGAGCUAUCCAUGGCCAGGUUGAAGGUGUGGUAACACACACUGGAGGACCGAACCGACUAGUGUUGCAAAAUUAGCGGAUGAGCUGUGGAUAGGGGUGAAAGGCUUAACAAAUCUGGAGAUAGCUGGUUCUCCCCGAAAACUAUUGAGGUAGUGCCUCGUGUAUUGCUCCAGGGGGUAGAGCACUGUUAUGGCUAGGGGGACAUGGCGUCUUACCAAACCAUGGCAAACUCCGAAUACUUGGAAGUAAGAGCACGGGAGACAGAGCACCGGGUGCUAACGUCCGGACUCAAGAGGGAAACAACCCAGACCGCCGUUUAAGGUCCCAAAUAUUGACUAAGUGGAAAACGAAGUGUGAAGGCUAAGACAGUCAGGAAGUUGGCUUAGAAGCAGCCAUCCUUCAAAGAAAGCGUAAUAGCUCACUGAUCGAGUCCUCAUGCGCGGAAGAUGUAACGGGGCUAAGUCAAUAACCGAAAGCGCGGAUUUGCACGAUAAGUGCAAGUGGUAGGGGAGCGUUCUGUAAGCCUGCGAAGGUGGUUCGAGAGGACUGCUGGAGGUAUCAGAAGUGCGAAUGCUGACAUGAGUAACGUUAAAGCGGGUGAAAAGCCCGCUCGCCGUAAGCCCAAGGUUUCCUGCUCUACGUUCAUCGGAGCAGGGUGAGUCGGCCCCUAAGGCCAGGCUGAGAAGCGUAGUCGAUGGGAAGCAGAUUAAUAUUUCUGCACCAUGUGCAAGUGCGAUGGGGGGACGGAGUGCGAAAGAUCAUCCGGGUGUUGGAUGUCCCGGUUUGUGAGUGUAGAAGGCCGACAGGCAAAUCCGUCGGCGGAUCUUCGAGACAAAGCAUCGAGGUUCUACGGAACCGAAGUGAUCGGAAGUGCUUCCAGGAAAAGCCUCUAAGCUCCAGCUUGCAUGUGACCGUACCGUAAACCGACACUGGUGGGCGAGUUGAAUAUACUCAGGCGCUUGAGAGAACUCGGGAGAAGGAACUCGGCAAAUUGACACCGUAACUUCGGGAUAAGGUGUGCCUUUGUAGCGUGAAGAGAGAAACACUCGGAGCGUGAAGAGGCCUCAGAGAAUCGGUGGCUGCAACUGUUUAUUAAAAACACAGCACUCUGCAAAGACGAAAGUCGACGUAUAGGGUGUGAUGCCUGCCCGGUGCUGGAAGAUUAAGUGAUGGGGUGAGAGCUCCUGAUCGAAGUCCCAGUAAACGGCGGCCGUAACUAUAACGGUCCUAAGGUAGCGAAAUUCCUUGUC
This 1930-nucleotide ribosomal RNA is filed under the name metagenome. Its description in RNAcentral is "bacterial LSU rRNA". It matches the Rfam family "Bacterial large subunit ribosomal RNA", at positions 3 to 1973 of the family's 2925-position model. The record is from RNAcentral.